Non-coding RNA from Podarcis muralis (Common wall lizard), 818 nucleotides. Lineage: Eukaryota; Metazoa; Chordata; Lepidosauria; Squamata; Lacertidae. The record is from RefSeq and is a predicted model, not a curated record.
GGCACCCCACCAGGAUUGCUCUGCUCCCCCCCACACUCCUCUUCCUCCACCAGUGCAAAGAUCCCACCCAAAUGGUUCAGUUUUCCAUUGGUGGGCACUUUUCUUUAGUUACGUAAAGAAUUGAACCUGUUCUUCCUAACAAGAAAUGUGCAUUGAAGGAAACUUGUGACAGGAAGUGAAAAGCAAGGGCACCAUUUCAGGUGUGCUGAGGGAAGAGACCUCGGGGGCGAGAGGAGAUUCCAAAUUCCAUUCUUUGAUCAUAUCACGAAGUUUGUUUCACGUUGCCAAACUUGGGGUUCAGGCAGGAGCCAUAAUCCACUUCAGGGAUUCCAACAGGCAUUGCUCAUGCAGUUCCAAGCAUCUAUUUGCAACCCAAAAGGGCAAUUAGAUUCCAGUUUACAUCUUAUGGCUUCACGACCUCCUGCUCCAAGGUGCUGUCCUUGGAGAUAUGAGGAUACAGGGGAAGUAUCAAUUGCUUUUCCAACUGCAGGUGGAUCCAAGAAGCAAACAAUGCUGUCCCCAUCUGUAAGGUCUGGGCUGUCAAAAAGUUGCAAAAAACACCACUUGGCUGAAGCCGGCAAGCAGCGCAGUCACAAGCAGCUGCAGGGAAAACCUGGAUGGAAUUGCCAUUAAGUGAAAAAGGACAUUGGAACAGCAGUCCUGCUGCAAAGGCCUCCUGAAACAAAGGUGUCUUAACGGAUGCCGGGAGCUCCAAAUGUCAAAAUGAGCACCUUCAGAGGGGCCAAAGCACACACUCUCAUUUCAAGGAAGGAUUAUCAUCAUAGGAGCCAAGGUCCCUUAUGCCCCCCAAUAAAAGA